GGUUUUAGAUGUGUUUCAGUUUGUUUUUGUAUAUGAAGCAACAGUACGUAUAUCUCGUACUGACAGAAACUCAAUUUAUUAAGAAGAAGAAGAAGAAGAUGAUGAUGAUGAUGCAUCGUUAUGAUUUACGACGAGAAGAUUUGUUUGUGUUUCCGGGUUCAAAGUGAUCAUUUUGAUGAGUUUUUCGCCCCUGAGUUGGACAAACAUGGUUAUCAAGCUCUCUACAAGAAGAAGACAACAGAGGUUUACACCGGGACUUAUACUAUCGAUGGUUGUGCAACAUUUUUCUGAAGGGACAGAUUU
Papaver somniferum (opium poppy) is the source of this 303-nucleotide long non-coding RNA. RefSeq lists it as uncharacterized. The transcript is spliced from 3 exons. The record is from RefSeq and is a predicted model, not a curated record. Lineage: Eukaryota; Viridiplantae; Streptophyta; Magnoliopsida; Ranunculales; Papaveraceae.